CAAGCCUGAUGCAGCGACGCCGCGUGCGGGAUGACGGCCUUCGGGUUGUAAACCGCUUUUGACUGGGAGCAAGCCCUUCGGGGUGAGUGUACCUUUCGAAUAAGCACCGGCUAACUACGUGCCAGCAGCCGCGGUAAUACGUAGGGUGCAAGCGUUAUCCGGAAUUAUUGGGCGUAAAGGGCUCGUAGGCGGUUCGUCGCGUCCGGUGUGAAAGUCCAUCGCUUAACGGUGGAUCCGCGCCGGGUACGGGCGGGCUUGAGUGCGGUAGGGGAGACUGGAAUUCCCGGUGUAACGGUGGAAUGUGUAGAUAUCGGGAAGAACACCAAUGGCGAAGGCAGGUCUCUGGGCCGUCACUGACGCUGAGGAGCGAAAGCGUGGGGAGCGAACAGGAUUAGAUACCCUGGUAGUCCACGCCGUAAACGGUGGAUGCUGGAUGUGGGGCCCGUUCCACGGGUUCCGUGUCGGAGCUAACGCGUUAAGCAUCCCGCCUGGGGAGUACGGCCGCAAGGCUAAAACUCAAAGAAAUUGACGGGGGCCCGCACAAGCGGCGGAGCAUGCGGAUUAAUUCGAUGCAACGCGAAGAACCUUACCUGGGCUUGACAUGUUCCCGACAGCCCCAGAGAUGGGGCCUCCCUUCGGGGCGGGUUGACAGGUGGUGCAUGGUCGUCGUCAGCUCGUGUCGUGAGAUGUUGGGUUAAGUCCCGCAACGAGCGCAACCCUUGCCCUGUGUUGCCAGCACGUCGUGGUGGGAACUCACGGGGGACCGCCGGGGUCAACUCGGAGGAAGGUGGGGAUGACGUCAGAUCAUCAUGCCCCUUACGUCCAGGGCUUCACGCAUGCUACAAUGGCCGGUACAACGGGAUGCGACCUCGUGAGGGGGAGCGGAUCCCUUAAAACCGGUCUCAGUUCGGAUUGGAGUCUGCAACCCGACUCCAUGAAGGCGGAGUCGCUAGUAAUCGCGGAUCAGCAAUGCCGCGGUGAAUACGUUCCCGGGCCUUGUACACACCGCCCGUCAAGUCAUGAAAGUGGGUAGCACCCGAAGCCGGUGGCCCAACCUUUUGGGGGGAGCCGUCUAAGGUGAGACUCGUGAUUGGGACUAAGUCGUAACAAGGUAGCCGUACCGGAAGGGGCGGCUG
This 1136-nucleotide ribosomal RNA is filed under the name human gut metagenome. RNAcentral describes it as "bacterial SSU rRNA". It matches the Rfam family "Bacterial small subunit ribosomal RNA", at positions 378 to 1520 of the family's 1533-position model. The record is from RNAcentral.